UGUCUUAUCAAUACUGUGGCCUACUUAAAUAACAAAGUUUCUUGUCAUGUAUCAUCUUGCACUGUCUACCAAAUUCAUCACUCUGAAAUCUAGAUAUUUUCUUAUUAUUUAGUUCAUAAACUUUUGUCACUCUUGGCACAUGACACUAUGCUUGUUAUUUGCAGAAAAGAGCCUGGAAUAUAUUGUUCAUUACAAGUGUUGUCUCUCUCUAUGCAAGUGUACUCUAUGAUAGUUGGACCAACACAGUGUUAACUGCAGCAUACCUCUUGCUUGUCACAUUUCAAGGUGUGCCAGGAGAGGACUCUUGGACUGUGUCCACUGUACGCAGCUGGAAGUUCUCAGUCUUGGGAGGUGUGGAGGAGUUUUGGGUGCCUAUUCUAAUUCGCAUUCUUUCUGCUCUUCUUGCCACCGUUCUGACAGCUGUGGCUCUUCCAGAUCGUGCUGCGUGGAAGCUCUGCUUGUGGGUGUGGUACUCGAAUGUCUAUGUGCAUCUACUACAAACGGUGGAGUGGUACUGGCUGCCAAUUGGAAAUCAGAUGGAACAUCGACGCCAGUAUCCAACUAUAGAUCGCCAAGGGCGUGACUGGUCAGGUCCUUGUUCAAUCUGCCUGGAAUCUAUCAAACCUUGCACUGCCACUGCUACCACCUGUGGACAUAUUUUUCAUGGUGAAUGCCUCAAGAAAUCUGUUGUAACCAAUGGCAAUGUCUGCCCUCUUUGCAGGUGGCCUCUUGUUACAAUGACAUCCAUUUAAACAAAAUUUGUAAUCAACUUUUACACACACUAUGUGAAGCCUUUUAAAAUCUAUAGCAUGGGCCUUUCAAUGGUGCUAUAAUCUGUUUGGCAACUGUUGGUGGUGUAUCUCUCAUGCAUAUUAUUUCUUAGGCAGUGAAAUGCCUCCUUAUUCUUUUAUAAAGCUGUGAUAAUAUAUAUUAACAUAUGUGCCCAUACUCCCAUGUCUUUAAAGCUAUACUCCCUUCCAGUACACCUUCAUAAUAAAUACAUACUCUAUUUAUUGAAAUCAGAUGCAGUUUUGUCUUCCAUACCUUAAUCUUCUGAAACUUAAAUUGGUGUUUAAAUAACAGACAUACUCAUAUUUUAAAGCAAAAGUGGAUUUCACGAAAUUUAAUAAUAUAUGACGCACCCAGGCCUGAAUUCCUGGCCCUGUUUUAAUGAAAGUAGGAGAAAUGAAAAUGUUAUAGACAACAGAUAAUGCUAUCUUAGAAGGGGAUGUCACAGAAAACUUCAUUAGCCCAAAAACAAUAGUAAGUUUUAUGAAAUUGACAAUCAGACAUCAUUUCAAUACACAUUUGAAGAACUUGCAUUAUAUGACAGUACUUCUUAUGAAAUUAAAUGUGUUAUUAUUAAAAUAUAUCUGACAUGACUAAAGAGAGAUAAAGUAUCUUAAUUUUCAAUAUAUGUCAAUGGAUCACUAGAUCCUAUUCUUCUUAAGGCUCAUACAUGCUGUAUUUGUUCAUUUUCUCUAAGUACUGUCUGACACACUGGAACAGAAUAUCAGAUAUGAUAAAGCAAGGAGAAUAUGGCAUUUAAGAAGUUUGUGUUAAAUCCUGUCUCAUUACUCUACCUGAAAAGCGUUCCUUGCAGUAAAUGGAACAAAUAAAUACAUAUGUAUUAAUUUAUUAUGUUAUCUGAAAACAGUUACCCCCAACAUGUAUACUGACAACUUGUAACAUCUGCUUGAAACACAGCCAUUAAAUUACCUAAGAAUCAAUUCAGUUUAUACAGAAAUGGCUCCUUAUGCCAUGUCCUGGCUCACAGAAAUCAGUAUAACUUAUACUAAUAUUAUUUAAAAUGCAAAAAUGAUCAACAGCAAACAAUGCAAUCUGAGAUAUGUAGAGAAUAUGCUAAUGAAAAUGCUUGUUAAUCAAUCUGGUAUCUCUUUCACAAAUUUCAAUGAAAAUAGAAAAUUAUUUACUUAACAUGCCAAUACUUAGAACAGGCUUAUACAUUCCUGCUGGCUCCCUCCCAAAUUCCAUAAGAGUGAAAGAAUGACAUCACAUAUUUCUUUCUUUAUUUACCAUCAUGGCACUGCAUGGUGAUCACUUU
Long non-coding RNA from Cryptotermes secundus, 2065 nucleotides. RefSeq lists it as uncharacterized. The transcript is spliced from 3 exons. The record is from RefSeq and is a predicted model, not a curated record. Lineage: Eukaryota; Metazoa; Arthropoda; Insecta; Blattodea; Kalotermitidae.